Molecule: long non-coding RNA, 1503 nt
Filed under: Gadus morhua (Atlantic cod)
Lineage: Eukaryota; Metazoa; Chordata; Actinopteri; Gadiformes; Gadidae
Description: lncRNA (ENSGMOG00000031745.1)
Source: RNAcentral
GCACAUUAUAAAAGUAUUAAUCCCCCCGUCUGUAUUCAUCAGUCUGAAAGUCCAGAAGAGGAGCCGAGCCCGGGGGUCUUGGGGCGAAUCGGCAGCUGGUUCUCUCCGUGGAAGUCACAAAUCCCCAGGGAUCUUGAAAUCGAGAAUGCCACCAAAGCGAGCGAGCAGGGCCCUGUGCCAGACACUGACGCAGCGAAGGGAGGAGCCGCACGGGCUGAGCCUGUGAGAGAGCCCGCCGGAGGAGGCUGGCAGAGGAAGUUGGGGACAGGCGCUCGGAGCUCAUACCCAGAGCGGUCGCGCCUCUCCAGGGAUCUCUCCUCCUCCACGAAGGAGGACGCCGCCCGGUCUGCCCGCAGAGACGGCCCCCUCUGGUCCACCGACUGGGAGCCAGCAGAACCAGGGCCCAAGGAGGAGGAGUUUGUGGAUGCUAGGGAGUUUCUAGAGGGGAGGAGAGGACAGGGCUGGGAGCGGGAAGGAGGUGGCCACCGUGGGACGCCACUGACAGGAGAUCCCAGUUUGGAGCACAAAGCCAGUCCUCUGACGCCUCGGUCUCGCACGCGUGUGCUCGGAGCGGUGGGGAAGCUUGACGCAGUCCACAACCCGGCUCAGAGGAACACACUCAACCACUCAGGCAAGAAGCUCCACGUGUACUUGGAGGAAGAGACAAGUGUGAUUAACAGCGGGAACAACUCAUGCACCGGGCAGGAGGUGGUUCGCGUCAGACUAGAGAAGAGCUUCGAUGUUCUCGCCAAGACCAAGUCACUGGACGCUCUCAAUUCACCACGGAGCAGCGGCCCGGAGCGGCGUGAGAUCAGGAACAGGUUCUGUCUGAGUGCCCCGGUGGAUCUAAAGCUCACUGCCCACUCAGACACCCACUGGGAGAGCCCUGAGACAGAAUCUGAGGAGACAGAAUCAGACAGGAUGGGGCGCAAAAACACCAGCCGGAGAAAGUCCAGGAAGCUGUCUCAGGGAGACGUGGAGGGAAACUCCCAAGAGAACACUCCUUCCAAUGCGUGUCAGGCACUGUCAGGCUCCCCCUCUGCCUCAGGUGGAACGUUGUUGACCAAAGCUCCAGGGGUGGAGACUCACCUGGGGAGAGCAGCAGGAAACUCCGCCUCCAGUCAGAGCUUAUCUGAGGGAGGGAAAAACAAGACUUCGCCCACAGCUAUUCAUAGAGAAAUUCCUCUGGGUAAGCAGCCAAAGGGACGUUUAGGCGCCGAUACUACCAGUUGUACUGGCACCAUCGUGGCUGCAGUUGAUGGAGAGGAAGACAUGGAUGAAAAAUUUAAGUUGGAGAGGAAAACUGAAACAGCAGAGUCCAAACGCAAGAGUAUUAAGGUCUCCAGAAGUGAGGUGAAGAUAUUUUCAAAGAAUGUUCUUGUAAACGCUGAUUCACAAUCUGGGCCCAGAAGUGGAAAUGUUUCCGAGAACUUUCAUUCAGGAUUAUCAAAACCUCAAGAUGCAGUCAAGGAUAAUUCUGAAACAGAGGUCCUUGCAAGGUAA